GAUGAACGCUGGCGGCGUGCCUAAUACAUGCAAGUCGAGCGAACGGACGAGAAGCUUGCUUCUCUGAUGUUAGCGGCGGACGGGUGAGUAACACGUGGAUAACCUACUUAUAAGACUGGGAUAACUUCGGGAAACCGGAGCUAAUACCGGAUAAUAUUAUGAACCGCAUGGUUCAAAAGUGAAAGACGGUCUUGCUGUCACUUAUAGAUGGAUCCGCGCUGCAUUAGCUAGUUGGUAAGGUAACGGCUUACCAAGGCAACGAUGCAUAGCCGACCUGAGAGGGUGAUCGGCCACACUGGAACUGAGACACGGUCCAGACUCCUACGGGAGGCAGCAGUAGGGAAUCUUCCGCAAUGGGCGAAAGCCUGACGGAGCAACGCCGCGUGAGUGAUGAAGGUCUUCGGAUCGUAAAACUCUGUUAUUAGGGAAGAACAUAUGUGUAAGUAACUGUGCACAUCUUGACGGUACCUAAUCAGAAAGCCACGGCUAACUACGUG
RNAcentral lists this ribosomal RNA (497 nucleotides) under uncultured bacterium. RNAcentral's name for it is "partial 16S ribosomal RNA". It matches the Rfam family "Bacterial small subunit ribosomal RNA", at positions 28 to 507 of the family's 1533-position model. The record is from RNAcentral.